GCCGCGUGAGUGAAGAAGGCCUUCGGGUUGUAAAGCUCUUUCGGCCGGGAAGAAAUCGCAUUCUCUAACAUAGGAUGUGGAUGACGGUACCGGACUAAGAAGCACCGGCUAACUACGUGCCAGCAGCCGCGGUAAUACGUAGGGUGCGAGCGUUAAUCGGAAUUACUGGGCGUAAAGCGUGCGCAGGCGGUUUUGUAAGACAGAUGUGAAAUCCCCGGGCUCAACCUGGGAACUGCGUUUGUGACUGCAAGGCUAGAGUACGGCAGAGGGGGGUGGAAUUCCACGUGUAGCAGUGAAAUGCGUAGAGAUGUGGAGGAACACCGAUGGCGAAGGCAGCCCCCUGGGCCUGUACUGACGCUCAUGCACGAAAGCGUGGGGAGCAAACAGGAUUAGAUACCCUGGUAGUCCACGCCCUAAACGAUGUCGACUAGUCGUUCGGAGCAGCAAUGCACUGAGUGACGCAGCUAACGCGUGAAGUCGACCGCCUGGGGAGUACGGCCGCAAGGUUAAAACUCAAAGGAAUU
This 524-nucleotide ribosomal RNA is filed under the name uncultured bacterium. RNAcentral's name for it is "bacterial SSU rRNA". It matches the Rfam family "Bacterial small subunit ribosomal RNA", at positions 396 to 911 of the family's 1533-position model. The record is from RNAcentral.